This 1365-nucleotide long non-coding RNA is filed under the name Oryctolagus cuniculus (rabbit). Its description in RNAcentral is "lncRNA (ENSOCUG00000039677.1)". The record is from RNAcentral. Lineage: Eukaryota; Metazoa; Chordata; Mammalia; Lagomorpha; Leporidae.
AUGGGCGAUUCUCAGCCACUGUGUGGUCUCCCAGCGCUGCCCAAAUGGAUACGCUGGCGUUCAUCAUGUCCUGUGGCACCACGGUGCCCUCUGAGCCUUGACACCGGCUGCUGCUGGGACCUGCCAUCUCUCACUCUGCAUCCCAGCCAAUGCAGAAUGCCAAGGCCCUGUCCUCCAGGAGCCUCAUAUCAGCUUGCUGUAAGCGUCUCCCCUCCUGUUGCACCUUGCUCUGUCUUACGACCAACAAAGAAAUGUUUCUUUGCAGAUAUUAGCCUGAUCAUUCUCUCAGCAUUCACUCGCAUACCUCCUCCUCGCUGGUUUCCAGACAACCUCCGGGGUCAGAGCCCAACACUGCCUUCUGCCACACAAGGGCUUCGUGCAGAACCACACUCAUCAUCAUUGCACUGUAAGCUAAUGAAUGUCUGGGGGCCUCUCCCAAAUGUUACCCAGACAGGGGGAAAUCCUAGCACAGACAUAGCUGAGACUUAAGUAGGGCACCCCUUCCCUCUCCCUGAACCAUCUACCGCCCCCCCCCCCCACACUCUAAUAUCACUUGGCUUGUUCUGAAACUUAUCAUGACUCAACUGACCUUUUUUUAACUGGCUUUUUGGUUAAUCUUCAAGCUCCUUUCUUUCUGGAGCGAUUCCUAAAUCUAGGUUCUGGACGAGUGCACACCAGAGCAUCUGCACAGCCCCCAGGCCUCCAUCCAGAGCUUCCAAAUUAGAAUCCCUUUGUGAGGACCCAGCAGCUUUUUUAGCAUUCUUCCCAGCGGGUGCCUCUGGCAAUGAGCUUUGGGAAGGGUUGUAUGGGAGCGCUCAGCUGACUGCAGCCCCAUCGGAGUGGGCCUUGCCUUCAUCAAAGAAUAUUCUAGAAUAUCGGCAUCUCUCAGCCUGCCCAGACUGCUGUCAUUGAGACGUGUCACGGGCCUCCUCCACAUCUGCUCUUUUUAACAGACUCUUUCCAACUCGGUUUGAACCAAAGCCUUAGCUGAUCACUCAUGUACAUGUGGCGCUAGGAGCAGGAGGGACACAGGGGUGAUUCGGAUAUUGUAGCUCGACCCCAGAUCCACAACCAUCAUACCCAGGGGUGGGAUUCAGGGAUCUUGGGAUGUGUGUUUGUGUGUGAGUGCUUGGAAAAUGCUGCAGGUUUGGGAACCUUAGCAAGAUUUAGCAAGCUGAUUUUUUUAAUGUAUAUAUGUCACUUCAUCAUAUAAUCAAAAAAUUUCUUCUUGAUAAAAUACUGCAAUUUUCAAAAACCAACUAGCUUUGAAGUGCAUCAGAAAGUAAGAUGAAUUGAUAGACGAGGAACAGAAUGGAUAAAUGGAUAGUUAAUAAAAAAAAAAAAGGCUAACUGUAGAAUCUAGGU